CGCUUCCAGCUUGGCAUUUUUUUUCGUUAACAUCGCAUUCUCCUCCUCCAAAAUCUUAUUCCGAUCUUCUAGUUUAUUUACAGCUCGCUUCAAUUUAUUCAAUAAGGAGCUGAUUUUAUUGCUACUUUCACCGGCAGCAGCUGUUGCCACGGGGGCCGCUGCCUGUACCACCUUUGAGAAAAAUGUACCAAAGGACAAUAUCACAAUUUAACAAAAAAAUUCAAACCAAAUAAUAUUUUCUACUAACUAAAUUCAGCAAUGCCUGCUCCGGCAGGCUACCACGUAACGUACGGUUCAAAUUGAAAUAUCAUCA
Molecule: long non-coding RNA, 313 nt
Filed under: Ananas comosus (pineapple)
Lineage: Eukaryota; Viridiplantae; Streptophyta; Magnoliopsida; Poales; Bromeliaceae
Description: long non-coding RNA (ACOM_LNC041747)
Source: RNAcentral